Molecule: ribosomal RNA, 301 nt
Filed under: uncultured bacterium
Lineage: Bacteria
Description: partial 16S ribosomal RNA
Rfam family: Bacterial small subunit ribosomal RNA
Source: RNAcentral
CAGUCGCCACGGGAAUACAGAGGGUGCAAGCGUUAAUCGGAAUUACUGGGCGUAAAGCGCGCGUAGGUGGUUUGUUAAGUUGGAUGUGAAAUCCCCGGGCUCAACCUGGGAACUGCAUCCAAAACUGGCAAGCUAGAGUAUGGUAGAGGGUGGUGGAAUUUCCUGUGUAGCGGUGAAAUGCGUAGAUAUAGGAAGGAACACCAGUGGCGAAGGCGACCACCUGGACUGAUACUGACACUGAGGUGCGAAAGCGUGGGGAGCAAACAGGAUUAGAGACCCGCGUAGUCCCUGUCUCUUAUAC